This 4464-nucleotide long non-coding RNA is filed under the name Sus scrofa (pig). Its description in RNAcentral is "lncRNA (ENSSSCG00065004256.1)". Lineage: Eukaryota; Metazoa; Chordata; Mammalia; Artiodactyla; Suidae. The record is from RNAcentral.
CACCCACAGCAUAUGGAGGUUCCCAGGCCAGGGGUUCAAUCAUAGCUGAAGCCGCCAGCCUAUGCCACAGCCAUAGCAACUUGGGAUCUGAGCCACAUCUGUAAUCUAUACCACAGCUCACCUGAGCGCUGGAUCCCCAACCCACUGAGCAAAGCCAUGGAUUGAACCUGCAAUGUCAUGGUUCCUAGUCAGAUUUGUUUCUGCUGCGCCAUGAUGGGAAAUCCUCCAUUGCCAUGUGAGUUGAAGCUUUAACCUCUUACAAAAUAUCUCUUUCUAAAAGAGGAGUUGGACUCUCUGGAACAAUCAGAAAGUCAUGAGAGAAGAAAAUGGAUUCCCAGUCACAGAUCAAAGGUUGUGUAAAAAAUUUUGUAACUGGCUUGCCAGAAAUAUUAAUGUGGCAGAUGCGUGAGGGAGGGGCCCAGGAUUGGAGAGGAGGACUGAAAAGUGGUUCCCGUAUUCAGGAGGAAGUCAAUAGGCUGUCUUCCUCUUUUAGAGUCACCCAGGGCUCCUGAGUGGUGAUAAGGAUAGGAGCUAUUAUGGAAAUGUCCCAUCAGUCUUGAGGGGUCAACCCCAGAGACCUUCAUCUUCAGGGGCAGUCGCUCUUCCUGUGAUCUCCCCAACAUAUGGGGCAUGGCCUAGGUGCUAUGGUCUGAGUCUUGCGGCAUUCCCCUUUAAAGGGUCCCUCUUUUCCACAGAGGAAACAGGCUCUGGGCAUAGGUCUCUGCCCUAGUCCUUUCACCUUGAAACUCCCAGGUUGACUCCCUGUAGUGCCAUAACUAGAGCCUCAGCCUUUUCUGUCUCUCCUCUUGUUCUCCUUUCAUUCUUCCUGGCCCCGAUUAUAACAUACUUGAGUUCCUACUCUGAGGAGGUGCUCCAGGUCCUGACCAGGGCCAAAAGCCAAUUUUUGGAGCUUUCUCCAUUUAUCUGGCACCAAUUGAGCUAUGAAUUUAUCCUUAAGAAUUAUUCAGCCCUCCAUUGUUUCUGGGUUCCUUGGUGUAUGUUUUCUCAAUGCCUUUCUGAGUCUUUCUAAGAAAGCUGAUGGACUCUCUUGUUCUCCUAGUAAACCUCUGAUAGUUUUUAAUAGGCUUUACUCAUGAGGCUUUUAAUCCCUCAACUAUACAAGUAAUAAAAUGAUUUCUAUGCCAAUUAUGGUUAUCUCCCUCAUCAACAGACCAAUUGGGAUCGCUCAUAGGAACUGCCUGACACCCUGUGGGGAAUCUUGUUCAUUCAUCUUCUAAUCCGCCUCUGGCAUUUAUAGCAUCAUUCCAUUCAUCUUCCCCAGCUUUGAGCAGUUUUGAAGACUUUAUGUAUUUUUUCCACCUAUACUCAAUGUCUGUUUUCAUAAUAACAUGACAUCCUUCCAGGCUAACUCAAAGAACUGCAUGAGACCCUGAAAGACCUCAAUAUAUCUGGGUCAUCAGCAAAUUUUCCCAAAUCUGUUUUUAUUUGCCUUAAGUCCGGAAGUGAAAUAGGUGUAUGGGCCUGUAUUUGGUCCCCAUUCUCUGUUUGCUACUUCUUGUAAAGGGAGUAGAGAGAUAUAUAACUUUGGCGCUGGAGGGGGGAGAGGAGGAGCCUUGAGCAGUAUUGGAGAAGGCUCAUUAACUUCUGGCUAAUUGAAGAAUAGUAUUAUAAGCUAGAGAGCUUUCAGACAGCCAUCACUCUCCAUCUGACAGAUUAUAUACAUCCAGUGCCUAUUGUCCCUUCUUGGUUAUGUGAGGGCAUCCCCUCUCUUAUAUGGAUCAGCUAGACAUUAGUGGUCAAAUGUCCCAUCCAACCUCAGGCUGACUGGAAUUAACCACUCUUUACCAGUGUAGUCUGUUUUCCCAUCAUCCCUGCCUAUUGCCUGUCUCUGGACAGAAGUAAAGAAAACCCAGGCAUACAGGCCCUGCCCUGAGUUUUCGAAUCCUAAGAUGCUCACUAUGACAUGCCCUCUAUUAAUAUUAGGAAAGUUUCUAAGCCACAGUUAACAGGUAAAUUGGAUGAACAGCAGAAAGCCAAACUGACUAUGCUGAGGCUCUGAGGCUAAACACUUGGCCUAAAUUGGAUGAAUACUAGCUAUGAACUCCUUUUCCCCACAGGCCUGGUGGCAACUCAGGAUGGUCUUAGCAUCUAGAAGUCUAUUUCCUUUGCCCCCACAGGGGCAAUAGCAAAGGACGUGAUGAAAGAUCAGGUUAGUUUUAUACCAUAAUCUUCAGAAAAUCCCUUUUUGAAAUCUUUGAUCACACAGUCUACAACCAUGGAUUUAGACUUGGGCGAACCCCUGGUGUCUUUCUGUGGAUCUUGUCUAUGGCCUGAUAUUAUGAGACCUUCUCUGACCUAGUGAGCAGUAUCCCCAGUAGCUUUGCCUCCGCCACUCUUGAAAGCAAGACAGCUCCCACUCAGCUCGCUCUAUGACCAGGGAUAACACCUGCUUUGUUGCAAUAUCUCUGAUCCAUCUGGGCCCCCAGUCUCGGGAAGGCACUCUCAGACAACUUCUAAUGUUUUGGGCAAAGGACAGGGGACCUGGUACUCAAUCCUCCCUAUACCCUGAACUGAGACGGGGAUGACAGUCUUGUCUCCAUUACUCAGAUCCUGGGCCUAAGUGAACUGACAAAAUGGGCAGUCCCAUGGCUGGUUUGGAAUCUGGGCCAGGAGUUCCUGGAGGCCCAGGGGCAAGGUCAAGUUAGAUUAUCUCCUCAGAGGAAGUUAUGUCUCACAAGACGGGAGCACAGGGUCUCUGGCUCAUGGGUUUCUGGGUUAGGUCCCACCCCAUGUGGCUGCCCUGUGCAAGUGACACAGACAAAACAAGGGAGCAUGCCCCCUUCUCAGAAUGUCUGCCUGACCGCCCCCCUCUCAGGAGUUUAGGUGCCUCUUAGCAAUUUGCUUGUUCAUAUAAGCCCUGAACUUGGAUUGGACUCACAGGGAGGGAAGAGAACCCCCAGAGUCUGCUUCAGCCAUAAGCCGUAUGAGGACCCACUCGGACUGCAGGUUAGGACCCACUUGGACUCCGGACUCCGUAACUGCUAAGACCAUGGAGUCACAAAUUCGAACCUGAAGUGCAAGCGAAUCAGGCCGCUCAUUCACUCUCACAUGCACUCAGAGGUUAUCACAAUGCCUCCCACUCCCUGGGAGUCCAUAAGGAGUAGCUCGAUCAAGCACAACUUUCAAUCAGCUGCACCUGACAGUUGCUCCACCCAAGCAAGAGGUUCCUCUGUUUGGCUCUGGAGCACUAGGACUACUACUCUGGUCAGGCACAGUUUCUGGAGGGGGAGAGUCUCCCUAAGAGGGUGAUCAGUCCCCUCUUCUGCCCACUGGGGCAGGACCUGACUGGGGUUUGCCCCGGGGCCUUACCUUGUCCGGAUGCCUUUCUGGUGAGUUGGUCUGUCUCUCCACUGAGUCCAGUCGGGGUUUGGUCACCUGGGAGUCAGGAAUGCCACUCACAAAGGAGGACCCAGAAUACCAUCAGGUGAUGUGCCGCCUCAUUGGGUUUGAGGCUCCCGGGCGGCCUUGCCUCUAUUCCAGUGGCUCAAGGGGUCAGAACGGUUGGAAUCUCUCUGGGGCCUCCAGAAAUGUUGCAGUGGCUGUCAGCAGCCCAAGGCCGGAGUGUACCAGCUCCAGCAGCUCUGUGGCUGCAGUGGAUCAGCUCUUUUACCUGGCGAGAAACUAAGUGAGCACUUGGAGAGUUGGAGAACUCAGGUUUAUUACGCCAGCGGGCUCAGAGGAGAUCACUCUCCAGAGUCUGAGCCCCAAAGAGGGGUUUCACAAGGCUUUUAUGGGCUAGUUCUUCCAGGUCCAUGCUUGGCGGACUGGAGUGAGAACUGGCAAAGUAAUAGAUGUGGGGGUAAGUUUUACAGAAGCAGAUGUGUGGGGGAGGGGUGAUUAGAGGUAGUUGGCUGGGUUGGGGCAGUUUGGCCAGAUUUUGCUUAGUUAUCAUGGCUGGGGUGUCUCCUUUCGACCUUUUUGUCAGGACAUUUUCCCCUACAGGAGAACUCAGAUUUAUUACGCCAGCGGGCUCAGAGGAAAUCACUCUCCAGCAUCCGAACACCGAAGAAGGGUUUCACAAGGCUUUUAUGGGCUACCUCUUCUGGGUCCAUGCUUGGCUGGUUGGACUGGAGUGAGGUCAGGCAAGGUAGUAGAUGCAAAAACUAGUUUACAGAAGAUGUGUGGAGGAGGGGUGGUUGGGGCAGUUGGCUAGACUUUGCUUAGUCAUCAUGGCCGGGUCUCUCCUUUCUGCCUUUUUAUCAGGACAUUUUCUCCUACAGUUUUAGUGUUAUCCUCCAGCAUUGGGAUGAGCAGAUGGAUUUUUUUUUUCCCUAAUGACUUGUAAAACUUUAUCUACUAUGAAUGUGUAUUCCAAAUAAUAUUUUCCAGAAUGUAGAAGAACCAAAACUUUAUACCCUCCUGUCAGAAAUGUGAACUUGCACAACUAUUUUGGAAAACAAUUUGACAGGUUUUCUUUUCUCUCUCUCUCUCUUUAUAUAUAUA